UUGAACGCUGGCGGCAUGCCUUACACAUGCAAGUCGAACGGUAGAGUAGCAAUACUCGAGAGUGGCGAACGGGUGAGUAAUAUAUCGGAACGUGCCCAGUCGUGGGGGAUAACGUAGAGAAAUUUACGCUAAUACCGCAUACGAUCUAAGGAUGAAAGCGGGGGACUCGCAAGGGCCUCGCGCGAUUGGAGCGGCUGAUAUCAGAUUAGGUUGUUGGUGAGGUAAAAGCUCACCAAGCCGACGAUCUGUAGCUGGUUUGAGAGAACGACCAGCCACACUGGGACUGAGACACGGCCCAGACUCCUACGGGAGGCAGCAGUGGGGAAUUUUGGACAAUGGGCGAAAGCCUGAUCCAGCAAUGCCGCGUGCAGGAAGAAGGCCUUCGGGUUGUAAACUGCUUUUGUACGGAACGAAACGGUCCUUUCUAAUAAAGAGGGCUAAUGACGGUACCGUAAGAAUAAGCACCGGCUAACUACGU
This 478-nucleotide ribosomal RNA is filed under the name uncultured bacterium. Its description in RNAcentral is "bacterial SSU rRNA". It matches the Rfam family "Bacterial small subunit ribosomal RNA", at positions 30 to 506 of the family's 1533-position model. The record is from RNAcentral.